CGCCGCGGCUUCCCCAGCUGGCUGCCCGCGGCUCAUCCCCCGCUCCCCCCCCCCCCCCACACUGGUGGUUUGAAAAUAACGGCGAAACACGGCGUAGGGGCCCCCCAGCGCCCUGGUGGUUUACAAAGCGGGGCUGCGAGGGAGGGGGGCAUGCCGGUGCCCAGGAAAGCACGUAUUGGCUAUGGGGCAGGCCCAGGGAGACCUGCCUCUGCACUAUUACAAAGCUCCUGCUGCGUUUCUGGGGCCCAAACUGCUGUGUUACCUGACAAACAACAGGGAAGGCCCUUGUCUGCUGCGUGUGAGUGCCUGCACCACUAGAAAGCUGAAUCUGGCGCCAGGUUUUUGCAAUUUUCUGUCCCAGCCAUGAUCUUUUUGUUACACGUUGAGGAAUGAGAACAGGCGACAGUUAGGAAGGUUUACUGGCAAUGGAAAGACUGCAGCAACCAUUCUACCACAAAACAGCACUCAAAAACAAAACAAUGUAAUCUUGCAGAUACAUUUCUCAACCCCCGCCAAUUUCUGCUCUCCAUAAACUAAUUCCAGCAUUUCCAUCUGGCUGAGAUGCCAUGAGAUGCCAGGUUCAUUAGGUUAAAUUCAGGAAAGCUGGCUGAUCCAUAUUGCAGAAUGCUAAAGCAGGUCCUUGAAUCAGCUACAUUUUCAGUGCCUUAAAGCCAGAUCCACAAUGUAAACAAAAAUUCAUGCAAGAGUUGUUAAAUGACUACUAAACAGUAGAGAUGACUACACUGAUCUUUGUGCACUGGAAACCUGGUAAGCACAUGCUUUCAUUGUGUACAAAUACUGUAAGAAUGAGUUAGCAUUAUUCUGUAAUAGCUGUGCACUGUGGGCCAGUUCCCAAGGGAUCCAUGUAUGAAUAUUCAUGACAGAGGGGAAAAAUAACAAGGUCUU
Molecule: long non-coding RNA, 906 nt
Organism: Dromaius novaehollandiae (emu)
Lineage: Eukaryota; Metazoa; Chordata; Aves; Casuariiformes; Dromaiidae
Exons: 5
Source: RefSeq, a predicted model, not a curated record